CCUACGGGAGGCAGCAGUGGGGAAUAUUGGGCAAUGGGCGCAAGCCUGACCCAGCAACGCCGCGUGAAGGAAGAAGGCUUUCGGGUUGUAAACUUCUUUUCUGAGGGACGAAGAAAGUGACGGUACCUCAGGAAUAAGCCACGGCUAACUACGUGCCAGCAGCCGCGGUAAUACGUAGGUGGCAAGCGUUAUCCGGAUAUAUUGGGUGUAAAGGGCGUGUAGGCGGGAAAGCAAGUCAGAUGUGAAAACUAAGGGCUCAACCCUUAGCCUUCAUGUGAAACUGUUUUUCUUGAGUGCUGGAGAGGCAAUCGGAAUUCCGUGUGUAGCGGUGAAAUGCGUAGAUAUACGGAGGAACACCAGUGGCGAAGGCGGAUUGCUGGACAGUAACUGACGCUGAGGCGCGAAAGCGUGGGGAGCAAACAGGAUUAGAUACCCGAGUAGUC
This 443-nucleotide ribosomal RNA is filed under the name uncultured bacterium. Its description in RNAcentral is "partial 16S ribosomal RNA". It matches the Rfam family "Bacterial small subunit ribosomal RNA", at positions 338 to 795 of the family's 1533-position model. The record is from RNAcentral.